UCCAGGGUAACCUAGUGGACAUGGCAUCUGCCCGGUAAGCGGAACACUGUGUGUUCGAUUCCCAUCCCUGGAC
This 73-nucleotide transfer RNA is filed under the name Cordylochernes scorpioides. RNAcentral's name for it is "tRNA-Thr". It matches the Rfam family "tRNA". From Rfam's summary of the family: Transfer RNA (tRNA) molecules are approximately 80 nucleotides in length. Their secondary structure includes four short double-helical elements and three loops (D, anti-codon, and T loops). The record is from RNAcentral. Lineage: Eukaryota; Metazoa; Arthropoda; Arachnida; Pseudoscorpiones; Chernetidae.